GCGGGGAAGCAAGUCAGAUGUGAAAACCACGGGCUCAACCUGUGGCCUGCAUUUGAAACUGUUUCCCUUGAGUGUCGGAGAGGUAAUCGGAAUUCCUUGUGUAGCGGUGAAAUGCGUAGAUAUAAGGAAGAACACCAGUGGCGAAGGCGGAUUACUGGACGAUAACUGACGGUGAGGCGCGAAAGCGUGGGGAGCAAACAGG
RNAcentral lists this ribosomal RNA (202 nucleotides) under uncultured bacterium. Its description in RNAcentral is "partial 16S ribosomal RNA". It matches the Rfam family "Bacterial small subunit ribosomal RNA", at positions 575 to 776 of the family's 1533-position model. The record is from RNAcentral.